AACGAACGCUGGCGGCAUGCCUAACACAUGCAAGUCGAACGAAGGCUUCGGCCUUAGUGGCGCACGGGUGCGUAACGCGUGGGAAUCUGCCCUUUGGUUCGGAAUAACAGCUGGAAACGGCUGCUAAUACCGGAUGAUGACGAAAGUCCAAAGAUUUAUCGCCAGAGGAUGAGCCCGCGUUGGAUUAGGUAGUUGGUGGGGUAAAGGCCUACCAAGCCGACGAUCCAUAGCUGGUCUGAGAGGAUGAUCAGCCACACUGGGACUGAGACACGGCCCAGACUCCUACGGGAGGCAGCAGUGGGGAAUAUUGGACAAUGGGCGCAAGCCUGAUCCAGCAUUGCCGCGUGAGUGAUGAAGGCCCUAGGGUUGUAAAGCUCUUUUACCCGGGAAGAUAAUGACUGUACCGGGAGAAUAAGCCCCGGCUAACUCCGUG
Molecule: ribosomal RNA, 433 nt
Filed under: uncultured bacterium
Lineage: Bacteria
Description: partial 16S ribosomal RNA
Rfam family: Bacterial small subunit ribosomal RNA
Source: RNAcentral